CCUACGGGAGGCAGCAGUGAGGAAUAUUGGACAAUGGGCGCGAGCCUGAAGCAGCGAAGUCGCGUGAGGGAAGACGGUCCUAUGGACUGUAAACCCCUUUUGUAGGGGAGCAAAUGACGCCACGUGUGGCGUUCCGAGAGUAUCCGUAGAAAACGCAUCGGGUAACUCUGGGCAAGCAGCCGCGGUAAUCCGGAGGAUGCGAGGGUUAUCCGGAUGUAUUGGGUUAAAGGGGGGCGCAGGCGGAAGACCAAGUCCGCGGGAAACUUGGGGGGCUCAACCUCUGCGAGCCGUUGAAACUGGUUGGCUUGAGUGAGCGAGAAGUAUGCGGAAUGCGUGGUGUAGCGGUGAAAUGCGUAGAUAUCACGCAGAACUCCGGUGGCGAAGGCAGCAUACCGGCCCCCAACUGACGCUGAGGCACGAAAGCGUGGGUAUCGAACAGGAUUAGAUACCCCAGUAGUC
RNAcentral lists this ribosomal RNA (459 nucleotides) under uncultured bacterium. RNAcentral's name for it is "partial 16S ribosomal RNA". It matches the Rfam family "Bacterial small subunit ribosomal RNA", at positions 338 to 795 of the family's 1533-position model. The record is from RNAcentral.